AGCUUUCUCUCCCUCCUUGCGGGCAAGCCUCAAGCCCCGCCCACUCCUGCCUCCCAGGUCUGACGGGGACUCCGGCUCGGAGCUGGGCCCCCGAGGCCGCCAGGGAGGGGGCCGGUGAAGGUUAUACGAGAGGCUCCAUCUGUCCUUAUUGAAAGUGCUCUUAACGCAGGGACCAGCCGUCUUGCUGACGCCUGGGCCACCGAGCACAGGGACAGGACGGGGUUGCUGGAGGUGCAAGCUGGGAGAAAGCAGAGAACUGACUCCAUGCAGAGUUGGGAUUAAGAGCCCCUGGACAAGGGGCCGAGGCAGUGAAGGACGUCCAUCACUCAUCUGCCACUAUCCUCCUCACAUUUAAUCCUCACAACACCCCUGUGAGGUUUAUCCGCUUCACCUGUUGCUGGGGAACACUGCUCUCCGGGGGACUUGGGGGACGACACUGUAAACAUGACUUCCUGGCCUGAUGGUGGCAGGGCUGUGUGUGCGAGUCACUGUCCAGGGACAGCA
This 504-nucleotide long non-coding RNA is filed under the name Homo sapiens (human). Its description in RNAcentral is "HSALNT0384079". Lineage: Eukaryota; Metazoa; Chordata; Mammalia; Primates; Hominidae. The record is from RNAcentral.